CGGCGUGCUUAACACAUGCAAGUCGAACGAGACGAUUUAGAAGCUUGCUUUUAUUGAGUCGAGUGGCAAACGGGUGAGUAACGCGUAGACAACCUGCCGCAAAGAUGGGGACAACAGUCCGAAAGGACUGCUAAUACCGAAUGUUGUAUCUCCUCCGCAUGGAAGAGAUAUUAAAGAUGGCCUCUACUUGUAAGCUAUCGCUUUGCGAUGGGUCUGCGUCUGAUUAGCUAGUUGGUGGGGCAACGGCCUACCAAGGCGACGAUCAGUAGCCGGUCUGAGAGGAUGAACGGCCACAUUGGAACUGAGACACGGUCCAGACUCCUACGGGAGGCAGCAGUGGGGAAUCUUCCGCAAUGGGCGAAAGCCUGACGGAGCAACGCCGCGUGAGUGAAGAAGGUCUUCGGAUCGUAAAGCUCUGUUGUCGGGGACGAAUGUUGAGACUUAGAACAUAAGUUUCAAAUGACGGUACCUGACGAGGAAGCCACGGCUAACUACGUG
This 498-nucleotide ribosomal RNA is filed under the name uncultured bacterium. RNAcentral's name for it is "bacterial SSU rRNA". It matches the Rfam family "Bacterial small subunit ribosomal RNA", at positions 40 to 507 of the family's 1533-position model. The record is from RNAcentral.